UACGAAGGGUGCAAACGUUGCUCGGAAUUACUGGGCGUAAAGGGCUCGUAGGCGGCCAACUAAGUCAGACGUGAAAUCCCUCGGCUUAACCGGGGAACUGCGUCUGAUACUGGAUGGCUUGAAUCCGGGAGAGGGAUGCGGAAUUCCAGGUGUAGCGGUGAAAUGCGUAGAUAUCUGGAGGAACACCGGUGGCGAAGGCGGCAUCCUGGACCGGCAUUGACGCUGAGGAGCGAAAGCCAGGGGAGCAAACGGG
RNAcentral lists this ribosomal RNA (253 nucleotides) under uncultured bacterium. Its description in RNAcentral is "partial 16S ribosomal RNA". It matches the Rfam family "Bacterial small subunit ribosomal RNA", at positions 524 to 776 of the family's 1533-position model. The record is from RNAcentral.